Molecule: ribosomal RNA, 255 nt
Filed under: uncultured bacterium
Lineage: Bacteria
Description: partial 16S ribosomal RNA
Rfam family: Bacterial small subunit ribosomal RNA
Source: RNAcentral
GUCCACGCCGUAAACGAUGGAUACUAGCUGUUGGGAGCAAUCUCAGUGGCUAAGCGAAAGUGAUAAGUAUCCCACCUGGGGAGUACGUUCGCAAGAAUGAAACUCAAAGGAAUUGACGGGGGCCCGCACAAGCGGUGGAGCAUGUGGUUUAAUUCGAUGAUACGCGAGGAACCUUACCAAGGCUUAAAUGUAGUUUGACCGAUUUGGAAACAGAUUUUUCGCAAGACAAAUUACAAGGUGCUGCAUGGUUGUCGU